UUUAAUUAUAUAAUAAUUCAUAAUGUUCAUAUUGAUUGGGAUUAAUUAAUAUUCAUCCAUAGACUGAUAAUCUAAAAUGAUUAUCUAAUUGUCAACAGUUUUACCUUUAAGAAUUGAGAAUCUAUUUUGGUUGAAAAAAGAAAGCUUGUCAUCUUUCAAUUCAUUGGAUUCAAUUGAAUUAAAUUUGAUUCUGAUUCUAAAUUGUCAAUAGAAACUAAAUUAUAAAAUUUAACAUGAUCACAAUUAACUUAAUCAUCAUUUCUCUUUAUCCUUUUAUCAUCUUUGAUUAAUCUUCCUCUUGUUGAUCGUUUUUCGCCUCAUCUUCCUUCUUGUCUAUCAAAUCAAGUGCUGAUUGUUGACUAACAAUUUAAUUUUCUAUUGUAAUUUACUCUAAAUCAACUUAAUUCUCACUUUCCUUCGUUGAUUUAGUUUAACAAUCUAUUAGUUGGUGACAACAGGGAAAAAAUUAUUUACACUUUCAUAUGAUAUUACAUCCGUUUAUUAUACUAAUUGUGUUAAUCAAUGUUCAGUAAAUUGUUCAACCAGAAAUCAUAAAAUUGUCUCUAAUCAUCAUCAUCAUCAUCAUAAUCUUAAUUACUAUCAACCUAAAAUCAAAUUGAUUUAGUGAUUCAAAUGAUUCUCAAUGAAACCAUUCUCACCACAAUUAACUAAUGACAACCUUAAUUAUUUGGGGUUGUUGUUGUUGUCCAAACAAAUUAGACUUUUUUUACAAUCAAAGAUCAACUAAUUGUUGAGAGAAAAACAAAAUUGAUAAUUUGUUAGUGUUUAGAAUAGAUUAACUAAUUGAGAGUUUAAAUUGUGUAAAAUCAACAACAAUUUACCAAAAGAAAAAUAAAAUGAGUGAUUCAAAUGUAACAACAGAAUUAAAAAAUAAUUCAUCCGAUUUAUCGUUAAUCACUUCAAAUACAAUUACUACAACAACAACAACAACAUCAACAUCUAAUUUUAUUGAUGAAACAAUUGAAGAUAACAAUUUAUUAAUGAUCGACUCUAAAUCAUGUUUACCACCAACACCAUUAAACUCACGGCCUCCCAAUGGUUACCCAAAGGGUUUACUACCCACCGCCACCUCUAGUUUAACUUCAACCAUUACGUUGGCCACCCUGUUUGACGAUUCAUUGUUACCCACCACACCAUCACCUCCACCACCACCACCUCCGCCUUCAUCACCAGCCCACCGUCAGUCACCUUAUAUAACCACAAGUAAUUCAUCAUCAAUCUAUUCUCACCUUUAUAAUCACAAUCAACAAUAUUCAACACCAAUAGUAACCAACUUGUCAACAUCAUCCAGUAAUUAUAAUCAACCUUCCUCUCCCCGAUGUAGCGGUGGAAAAUUUUGGAGAUUUUUCCGCUCCUCAUCACCUAAUCGACAUCGACAACGAGUUGUAUUCAAAAAUGGUGGAAUUAACCUUUGCAAGGAACAUAUUGAGAAACGAUCUCGACGUUACCUUCAAGAUACAUUUACCACAAUGGUUGACCUUCGUUGGCGAUACAAUCUUCUAGUUUUCACCUUGGGUUUCGUCCUCUCUUGGCUUUUAUUUGCUUCCAUUUGGUAUGUGGUGGCCUAUUUUCACGAUGACCUGGGUGAAAGUGUACCUCAUGAAAGGUGUGUCAUCGGUGUUAAUUCAUUUAUUACCGCUUUCCUUUUCUCCUUUGAAUCGCAACACACCAUUGGCUUUGGUAACCGUUAUCCCCAUGAAAAUUGUGUCGAGGGAAUAUUUUUCAUGUGUUUCCAGUCAAUUUUUGGAGUGAUGAUUGAGUGUUUUGUGGUUGGCUUUGUGUUUGCCAAACUUUCCAGGCCAAAGAAACGCUCACAGACCCUUAUCUUCAGCCGAAACGCUGUUGUCAAUGUACGAGAUGGUUCACUUUGCCUGGUAUUUCGUGUAGGUGAUGUUCGUGCUCGAUCUUACAUUAUUGGUGCUUCAGUGUCCGCUCUACUUAUAAGCCGAAAAAUAUCCUCAGAGGGUGAAAUUUUACCCUAUUAUCAUGAAUCUCUGAAAGUUCAUUUUGAUUCUUGUGGAACAUCAGUUUUCCUUGUAUGGCCUGCGACAAUCUACCAUGUUAUUGAUGAAACCUCACCUUUUUACUCAAUGGAUCCUGAAGCUUUAGCCAAUAGUCAGUUUGAAAUAGUAGCCAUGUUGAAGGGGACCGUUGAAUCGACUGGACAAACAAUUGAAGCGAGAACCUCAUACCUACCCGAGGAAAUUACUUGGGGUCGACGAUUCGAAAGGCUAAUCGAUUUCCAAACCCAAUCAGGAGUUUAUCGAGUUGAUUACAGUAAAUUUGAUUCUACCUAUGAAAUAUCAACUCCUAAAAUAUCAGCUCGACAAUUUGAUCAACAACAACAGCAACACCAACAACAACAACAACAACCAUCCUAUCCAAAUAAUCAGCAACAACAACAACAAUUUAGCCAACAACUUCAACGUACAAGGCGAUCAGUUGCUUGGAACCAAAUAGAAGAUCAUAAUCGGAAUAAAGUUGUUGAUUAAUAUAAAUGUUUAAUUGUUGGUUAGUUUUUUUCUCUGUGCUUCUUAUUACAGGAAAACUGUAAAUUAUAUCAAAUGGUUGAGGGUUGAUAAUAUUUAAGUGAUGAUGAAAAGAGAAGAUGAUUUUAUCAUCAUCAUAAUCAACUAAAUGAUGAGGAUUAGAUGAUUAAUAAUAAUAUGGAAUCAAAAAGUGACCUGAAAACCAAUGGCCUUGAAACCAGAUCAUUGUUGUCAAUUAAUUAACAAUAAUAGUAAAUAAGACUAAUAAUCAUCAACUAAUUUGCUAUAAUAAUAAUGAAAUUACAAUUUAUUAUCAUUUGUAAAAUUAAAUUAAUAAAUACAGUAUAUUAUAUAUUGUAUUAAA
Molecule: RNA transcript, 2874 nt
Organism: Panonychus citri (citrus red mite)
Lineage: Eukaryota; Metazoa; Arthropoda; Arachnida; Trombidiformes; Tetranychidae
Gene name: ATP-sensitive inward rectifier potassium channel 1-like
Exons: 2
Source: RefSeq, a predicted model, not a curated record